GUAGGUGGCAAGCGUUGUCCGGAAUUAUUGGGCGUAAAGCGCGCGCAGGGCGGUUCUUUAAGUCUGAUGUGAAAGCCCACGGCUCAACCGUGGAGGGUCAUUGGAAACUGGGGAACUUGAGUACAGAAGAGGAAAGCGGAAUUCCACGUGUAGCGGUGAAAUGCGUAGAGAUGUGGAGGAACACCAGUGGCGAAGGCGGCUUUCUGGUCUGUAACUGACGCUGAGGCGCGAAAGCGUGGGGGGCAAACAGGAUUAGAUACCCUGGUAGUCCACGCCGUAAACGAUGAGUGCUAAGUGUUAGGGGGUUUCCGCCCCUUAGUGCUGCAGCUAACGCAUUAAGCACUCCGCCUGGGGAGUACGGCCGCAAGGCUG
RNAcentral lists this ribosomal RNA (372 nucleotides) under uncultured organism. RNAcentral's name for it is "partial 16S ribosomal RNA". It matches the Rfam family "Bacterial small subunit ribosomal RNA", at positions 527 to 896 of the family's 1533-position model. The record is from RNAcentral.